Molecule: ribosomal RNA, 793 nt
Filed under: Staphylococcus sp. 8
Lineage: Bacteria; Bacillati; Bacillota; Bacilli; Caryophanales; Staphylococcaceae
Description: bacterial SSU rRNA
Rfam family: Bacterial small subunit ribosomal RNA
Source: RNAcentral
GCGGACGGAUGAGUAACACGUGGAUAACCUACCUAUAAGACUGGGAUAACUUCCGGAAACCGGAGCUAAUACCGGAUAAUAUAUUGAACCGCAUGGUUCAAUAGUGAAAGACGGUUUUGCUGUCCCUUAUAUAUGGAUCCGCGCCGCAUUAGCUAGUUGGUAAGGUAACGGCUUACCAAGGCAACGAUGCGUAGCCGACCUGAGAGGGUGAUCGGCCACACUGGAACUGAAACACGGUCCAGACUCCUACGGGAGGCAGCAGUAGGGAAUCUUCCGCAAUGGGCGAAAGCCUGACGGAGCAACGCCGCGUGAGUGAUGAAGGUCUUCGGAUCGUAAAACUCUGUUAUUAGGGAAGAACAAAUGUGUAAGUAACUAUGCACGUCUUGACGGUACCUAAUCAGAAAGCCACGGCUAACUACGUGCCAGCAGCCGCGGUAAUACGUAGGUGGCAAGCGUUAUCCGGAAUUAUUGGGCGUAAAGCGCGCGUAGGCGGUUUUUUAAGUCUGAUGUGAAAGCCCACGGCUCAACCGUGGAGGGUCAUUGGAAACUGGAAAACUUGAGUGCAGAAGAGGAAAGUGAAAUUCCAUGUGUAGCGGUGAAAUGCGCAGAGAUAUGGAGGAACACCAGUGGCGAAGGCGACUUUCUGGUCUGUAACUGACGCUGAUGUGCGAAAGCGUGGGGAUCAAACAGGAUUAGAUACCCUGGUAGUCCACGCCGUACACGAUGAGUGCUAAGUGUUAGGGGGUUUCCGCCCCUUACUGCUGCAGCUAACGCAUUAAGCACUCCGCCCUGG